This 464-nucleotide ribosomal RNA is filed under the name Galba viatrix. Its description in RNAcentral is "partial 16S ribosomal RNA". It matches the Rfam family "Bacterial large subunit ribosomal RNA", at positions 1799 to 2617 of the family's 2925-position model. Lineage: Eukaryota; Metazoa; Mollusca; Gastropoda; Lymnaeidae. The record is from RNAcentral.
CCUGUUUAUCAAAAACAUAGCCUGAAGAUUUAUUUCAGGUAAAUUCUGCCCAGCGUAAAAAUUAGCGGCCGCAGUACCUUGACUGUGCUAAGGUAGCAUAAUCAAUUGGCUUUUAAUUGAAGUCUGGAAUGAACGGAUUAAUGAGGGCUUGCUGUCUCUUAAUAAUUAUUUUGAAAUUAUUUAUUAAGUGAAAAUACUUAUUUUUAGAAAAAAGACGAGAAGACCCUUAGAAUUUUUAAUAAAAUAUACAAUUUAUAUUAUUUUUUUGUUGGGGCGACAUUGAAACAAUUAAACUUUCUAUAUUUCAUGACAUUAAGAUUUGAAAGAAUAAAUUACCUUAGGGAUAACAGCAUAAUUAAUUAUUUAGUUUGUGACCUCGAUGUUGGACUAGGAACUAGUUGACUAACAGUCAAAAUAGAUUGUUCUGUUCGAACAGAAAUUCCUACGUGAUCUGAGUUCAGACC